ACCAUAAUGUCAUGCCUACACCUCUCGCUAAUUAAUAACCUAAAAACGAUGGUACGUCUGGUUGAGGGUCAAUAUCGAUCAGAUUAUCAAAUAAUAUACCAAAAUUGAUACAUAUGAUACAUAUGAAUGAUAUAUGUUUUGGAUAUAUUAUUUGUUAAAAUUAAUUCAUCAGGUGAUGAUGUGAUGAUAAUCAUUGAAAAAUGACAAAAAUCCCCUGAUUAAGUAUGAUAAAAAUAGUAAGUAAAAAAGGCAAAUACUUUUUACUUACAAAAUAUUUACUUAUUGGAAUAAAUAAUUUAAUCUUUCAUAUAUAUAGCUGAUACACAACAAAAAAAAAUAAAAAAAAAAAAAAUUAUAAAUAUUUUUAUUUUUUUUUGUUAAUAUUAUUAUUAUACUUUUUACCCAGCUUUAAUAACUACAAUAAUGAAUGAAAAAAAAAAAAAAUAAUAAAUAUGACACAAAAAUACAAAAUAUAUUAAUUCUUUUUUUACUUUGACCACCUCAUAACUGCCAAAUACCUAUAAUAAAUAAGGACCCUGCUGUGUCCGUGGCCUUGUUACACACAGUCAUCAUCACAUACCAUCUAAACAUUCUCUAAU
This 599-nucleotide unclassified non-coding RNA is filed under the name Dirofilaria immitis (dog heartworm nematode). Its description in RNAcentral is "sequence contains 5.8S rRNA gene and ITS2". Lineage: Eukaryota; Metazoa; Nematoda; Chromadorea; Rhabditida; Onchocercidae. The record is from RNAcentral.